GAUGAACGCUGGCGGCGUGCCUAAUACAUGCAAGUCGAGCGAACAGACGAGGAGCUUGCUCCUCUGACGUUAGCGGCGGACGGGUGAGUAACACGUGGAUAACCUACCUAUAAGACUGGGAUAACUUCGGGAAACCGGAGCUAAUACCGGAUAUUUUUUUAACCCCCUGGUUCCAUUAUUAAAUACGGUUUUUCCUUUACUUUUUGAUUGAUCCCCGCCGCAUUUGCUAGUUGGUAAGGUAACGGCUUACCAAGGCAACGAUGCGUAGCCGACCUGAGAGGGUGAUCGGCCACACUGGAACUGAGACACGGUCCAGACUCCUACGGGAGGCAGCAGUAGGGAAUCUUCCGCAAUGGGCGAAAGCCUGACGGAGCAACGCCGCGUGAGUGAUGAAGGUCUUCGGAUCGUAAAACUCUGUUAUUAGGGAAGAACAAAUGUGUAAGUAACUAUGCACGUCUUGACGGUACCUAAUCAGAAAGCCACGGCUAACUACGUG
RNAcentral lists this ribosomal RNA (496 nucleotides) under uncultured bacterium. Its description in RNAcentral is "partial 16S ribosomal RNA". It matches the Rfam family "Bacterial small subunit ribosomal RNA", at positions 28 to 507 of the family's 1533-position model. The record is from RNAcentral.